GUUUCAGAAUGUUCAGUUCAUGGUCAACUUGCUCCAGUGCAGAAAUAGCAGUGAAAGGGCCUGGUAGACAAAGCGGCUCACACCAUUGUGGCCAGGAAGUAGAGAGAAGGGAAGAGCUGGGUACAAGAGUGCACCCUUAAGGUCACACCUCCAGGGACCUGCUUUUUCUGGCCAGGCUCCACCUCUGAACAUGAGACUUUGGAGGACAGCUUAGAUCUAAACUAUAACAGCCUCUAACUGUUCUGUAAUUGCAAACCUCUCCCUUCUAGUUUUGUUGUCUCUGACAUACCGUCUGUUGUAACAUUUGGGCUUCACCUAUGAUCACUGACCUUUGGCCUACCCAUCAGCAGUCACCACAUGUCUAUGUAACUGCAUGAGUUCUACACACAGGUCCCAUCAAAGGCUGUCCACAGAGUGUACCGGAGCUGAAUUGCUCCAGUGUCUAUCAGAAGACAAUGUUCAGAACAGAUGGGCCUUGCUCAGGUACUGACAGAGAGCUGGUUAGAGCCUGUGUGUUUCUGCUAAUCAGUACAGUGUUGUUCACCUGCUCUGUUGAGUUCACCUUUGUAGGAUUUCUCCAUUGCUUCAUCAGGAAGCUCCAGGCAGUACUUAUCCUCUGCACCCUUGUGUAUCAGUGAUCAUUUUCACUGUGUCCAUACUCAAAAUAACACCCAAGAGCCCCUCUCAUUAGGUGGGCAAGUCCAAUAACCUGCUGUGUGUUUCAGACCAGACAUGGUAGCAGCUGUUUUAAAAAUAGCUAUAAACCAAAAGAGAAAUAUUUGCAUUUAAUUAUUAAACACCACAUUUACUUAAUUCUGGAAUGCUUGCCCUUUCAGGCAUUAUGUGAUAUUCAGACUUUGGAAUUAGAUGCAACAGCCCAUCUGCAUUCUUUUUCCACACUGAUUUUUGCUUGGAACAUGCUUUAAAUCCAUAUCCAAGCCUGAGUUUCAUGGAGAUGAUGCCCUUAAAAGGGUGUGAGGAGCAGGUGACCUCGACCUCGACACUGUAGGUGCUCUUGAGGUAGCAGACUUCAUAGUCCAGCAGAUAUUGAGUACUGCUGUUUCUCUUCAAAUUUUAGGUUAGCCUGCAUCCUGUAUUCCAAGUGCCUUGAGGGGCAGUCUUGGAACUGUGGUGUCAAGUGUGUGUUCUUACUCUGUCCCUAUUGACUGAUCUGUAGUGUUGCUGAACAUGUGCCCUGAGCCUGCCGUGCCAGGGCUCUGUCCACAAGGUGAGGUGCACAGCAUGGCUGUGGGUGCCAGUGGUGGACAUGACAUAGGCUGAGGUGUGCAUAAAGGUCCAUGCAGUAGAGUGUGGGGCAGAGAUGCCCUGGUGGGAGAAGCUGUCUGAGAAGAUCACAGGCAGGUGUGCUGGCCGUCAUCAGCAUCCACUUGCAGAACUUUCUUGUGACCCCUGGGAGGAACCCUGUACUAUGGAGGGGUGACUCCCAGUCCCUCCUACCCAGCACCUGGCACCCUGUUGUCCACUGUGAGUCUCUGUGCAGGGACCGGUCUCCACACUGCAUGAGUGGAGCCACGCGGGACUUGUCUGAGGCUGGCUUCACUCAGGGUCAUGGCUUUAGGUCCACCAUGCUGUGGCCACAGCAGAGCUUCCUCCUUCCGGGGCUCAGCACAUCUCCUGUGUAGCUGGUGUGUUUUCUAUCUCCAUUCAUCUGUCGGUGGACACUUUGGUUGCCUUCCCCUUGUGGCUGUCAUGCAUACUGUGGCAGUGAGCACUGGUGAGCACAGAUCUGUUGAGUCUGCUUUUGAUCCCUUUGCUGUCUACUGGACCGGACCUGUGUUAACUCUAACUUCUGAGGAGCAGCCAGGCCACUUCCCCAGGGGCCCUUUCAUUUUGCACCAUGACAGUGAACAAGGCUCUCCCUUUUCCACAUUUCAUCAGGACUUGUCUGGCUCUGGUUUUCAAUUGUGGGCAGCCCCUGGGUGAGUGUGGGUGCCAGUGUGGUGUGGACUUGGCUUUCCCUAGUGCUGAUGAUGUUGGCUCUUCUUGAUGGGGACAUUGGCCAGUGUGUAUCUUUGGAGCAGUGUCUCUUCCAGCCUUUGGCCCAUUUUUGAACUGCUUGCUCUUGCUGACUUGAAGUGGUUCCUUGUAUUUAUGGAUAUUAAUCUCUGGUCAGGUCUGUGGUUUGAAAAAAUUUCCUCCUAUUCUAUGGGUUGCCUUUUUGUGAGGAAUCUGAAUUUUGAUAUUGAGUAUAAGUGUGUGCAGUCUCGAUGCCCACGUUGCCUGUCUGUCUUGCUAUUUUCUGAUGGACUAGACAUGGUGUUGCUCAUGCCCAAGUCACUUCCGAUCAGGUAGCUGGCCUCGUCUGAUGUACCUGCAGUGGAGUGUGGAGCAGGUGGGAAAAGACUCCAUUGCCCACCUGGACCCUGGCUCCAACACCCUGGGGGCUUGAGUGUGGCAGUCAUUCAGCUCUGCCACCCUCAGUUUCCUCACCCGCGGAGGGCUUGGCAAAGCCUGGCUUGUGGGCCCAGUGUGCACACCCUCAGGACCACACUGGCAUGUGAGAGGCGCUCAGUGUGUGCUGUGCCUUCCUCUUGCACUGCAGCUGAGCUGGAGUGUGUAUCACCCUCGACUCUUUCUCCCUUCUAGCCUUGUACCCUCUGUUACAAUGAGCUGUUAGCUGCCAGCCGGGGAUUCGAAUGACCACCCUGUGCCUUGUACCACACAGACAUUUUCAGAAAAGACCUUGUGAGACUUUUAUAAAGUGACAGAAAUUAUUGCUUUUGAGGAAAAAAUAUUGCCUUAUAACAAAACCCAGCUGUGCUACUGACAUUGUGCCAGGAGGUCUAAGAAAGAAAGAGAAGCGCAUUUGCCAUAAAAUAAAAGUCUUCCAGUGGAAUUCAGAGCCUCAGUGGUUUGUGCGUCUCAAGAUGAGCUCUGAGGGUGUGGAGGACCCACCGGCCACUUCUUGGGCCCAGGCUCAGGCCCGUCUGCUGUCCUCUUCCCCUUGGUCUGUGGCUGGCGGCUGGGUCCACGGCCACAGUCCAGUCAGUGUCUCGUUCACCCUGAUCAGCCCUGCUGUCCGGUAGGCCCAGAGAGGAGGGGAUUAUUUUCUUCGCAGCUCUGAUUCUUUCCUGGGUCUUUGCAGAGAGGAGCACCUGAAGAAACACAGAGCUUUAAUUUCCUUUUUCUACAUCUGACCUCCCUUUUAGACAGUAAACUCUUUGGAAAGCAAGAGCUGUUGCUCAUUUUCCGUGUGACCCAGGCUCCAUGUGUGGCAGCCUGCUUGUUUGGCUCAUUGGUCUGAGUGUGUGCAGCACAUUAGACACUGUUCACUCUAACGCUAGACUGAGCUAGUGUGUGGCGGAGGGACUCGGGUUCAGUUCCACCUGUGUCAUACGCACCCUGGAUGCUUUGCCUGAAGUCCUGGAGACUCGGUUCCCUUGCUUGUUUGCCAGGCAACUACAGGUCAGCAGGGUUUCUGUCACACAUCAGGGAUCCUUGCUGGCAGUGUCUUCUGAGCCCCAGUCCCUCCGGAAGUUAUGAAGAUGGUCCUUUCAGUGGGUGUGUCAGUAGCAUCACACAGCCAGAGCUUCGUGUGUGUCCAUCUGUUUCUGCCUUGUGGGUCCCCGGAGCUGUGUGUUUUAAAAAGAGCAGUGGAGAAGUCCCUGGAUGGAGAUGUGAAAGUCCUGGAGUCUGGCCCAGUUCUGCACUGCCUGCCCUUGGGCAAGUGACAGCUCGCCAACCAGUUUGCUCAGAAUCGAGUCGGAUGACCCAGUAGGACAGCUGCGGUCUCGCCUGGUGCGCUCUAUCCCCAUGAACCCCCAGGGUACACCCAGCUGCCUCUUCCCUCAGCAAAGAAGCACCAGUGUCUAGCAAUUGCUUCCCAUCAGCACCUGCCCACUCCGGCCCUUGUUGCCAGGCAGCUCCUUCCUGAGGUUUGGUGUGGGCUGAUCCUUAGGGCCCUGGCUUGCGGCAGCAGACCUUGGGCCAGUGUCUUGCCCACGAAGUUCGCUGAGCAGAAUGCCAGGGCAGAUGGCUCUUAGCACAUCUGUCACUGGCCAGGGACAGAGCACAAAGCAGGCAGCAUCUGGUGAGUGCUCUGACCUGACAUGAGCCAGUGAUAUGUGCUCAGGUGUAGGAAGCACCCUGCCUCCUAUUUUACAUUCUCUAUUGUUUAGGGUUUGGUGACUGGGUGUCUUUCUUUUUAGUGAUGGACGGUUGCAGUAAAUGGCAGCAGCAGAAACAAAUGCUGCCUCCCAUGAGGAACAGGAAGCUUGAGUUCUGGGUCUCCUUGUGUCACUAUCAGUUGCCUCCUGGCAAAGAGCUGAGCUCAGGGACUGUACCUCAGAACAGCUGCUGCGUCCCAGGUGUUUAUCUAAAUGUUUAGGCUUGAGCAGGGCAGGUGCCUACUGUCUCAGACAUACUUCCAAAUCAAUCUUAAAAGGACAGGAAAAGCAAACAUUCGUGAAGACUGCAGUUUGCGUAGUGCUCCCACAUCUCCUGUCUCCUUGGCAGAGCCAGCACUGUGGAGGCCACGUUCUGCUCCUGGGAGGAGAAACUGCAGCCUCAGACCUGGGGGCCUGUCACCUUCGUCCUCUGUCUGGACACAUGCAUGGAAGGUUCCCUCUUGGCACAGUGGAUCUGUGAGCCUUGGCCAAGACUUCACUGUGUGUCAGGGUUAAGUCAAAUGACACCUGCGAUUAGCACGCCGGUGGUCUCAAAAUGCUAAUUUGUCUGUCCUUCACUGGUUGUCUAGCAACUUCAGUGUGAUUGAUGGAGAGAAAACUUUACAAAGAGAGUGAAAUUAUUAUGUUGAAGGACAGCAGACCAAUCAAAUUUGUGUAGGAUUUUUAAAGUAAUGUUCUGUAGAUAAAAUUCUAAAAAUUUCAAUCAAUACUGAGAACAAGCAUCCUGUAAGGGUGGAAUAUUUUGCUUUUGUUAGUUUCCCUAGCAAAUGGCAAUCUGUUAAUAGAAAAUACCUUCAGAUAACUCUCCUCUGUGGCCUCCUGAUUUCUGAGCGUCCCUAGGUCUGUGAACAGGGCUACACUUUGUGGACAGAGACCAGGGACCGAGGCCAAAGUCCCCUCAGUCCCCUAACCCCAGCCCCAGCCCCAGCGUGACUGAGCACCUGGAGGGGCAUCUUCACGUGCUUCCUCUCCAGGCGCCACUGCAGUGGGGAGAGAACCAUGGGAGAAAAGAUGCAGCUGGGGGGUUUGGCUGGCCAGGGUCUCUGAGCUGAGCCCCAGAAGGCUCCAUGCUGAGCCCAGCAGGACCAGCUCAGGCUUAGCUUCCCAAGUGGCCCAGCUUCGGUGGCAGGUUCCGUUCUAAUGACAAUGUGAAUUAAACUUCACUUGGCGUAUUUUAGUAACUUAGUUUGUGUGGUUCCCAUUUGCUGUCUUGUCUCAAAUGCCGCAUAAAUUAUAAUUUGUUACUUAAAGGAGAAAAGUCCAACUGAACCUGCUCCUCAUGCCGAGAGGCAGCAGGACAGCUCCGUGGAGCUGGGAGAGGGAGGGAGGCCAAGGCACCAGCCCCGCGGAGCGUGCGAGACACUUGGCAGUGCAGCCUCGUGUAGCUGCUGGAAGAUUCGCAGGAAAUGGUGCCAUGGUGGAGCCAGUGUGUGGUGAAAUCAGGCUGAAUUCUGAUUUUUCUCUGUGACCCCAAACCAUGUCUUUUUUACGGCACUUUUGGGCAUCUCUUGUUGCAGACUCCUCUGCAUUCCUCCUGCUCAGUAGCAUGGGUAGAGGUUGGUGAUCUUGACUCGAGGCUUUUGCCUCGCUGCAGGUGCUCAGCGUCCUGCAGGGAUCACAGACGUCGGCAGCCCUGGGCAGAGAGAGGGCUGCCAGCACUGGGGAGUGUGGGAUGGUUCACAGGCGGUCAGGAGUAGAGACGGUUGGCUCCCUGGGGUGGGGGAUUGUCCACAGGGGUUAGGAGCCCUGGCUAGGCACAGUAAGUGCCUCAUGACCACAGUGGAAGAGGCGAGCCCUGUGCUGCCCACCAGUCACUCCAGCCCUUCUCGGUCCAUCUCCCAGUGUCUCUCGAACUCAGCUUUUGCGGUUGUCCCGGAAGCACAGCCAGCGGACAAAACCUGGCCACCCACUUAUGAAUGGGUGUGUGCAGCCUUCCUGUCUCCCUGCCUCUGUCCCUGGGGUCUAACCUUGGGUCCUUCGAGGAGGUGGCAUGCUGUCCUUGAGGUCCAUCCAUGGAGUGACCCACCUGGUGUCUCGCUGUCUAUGUGGACCUCACUGCUGCACCCUAGAGCCUUUCCUGACUGACUUUCUCCCAGUGUAGGGUAAAGAAGCAGUAAGUAGGAUCUUGGUUUUUUAUUUUUCACUGAUUGAUAUCCAACUCAGCAGGAUGCUGUGUCUGUAUAUGUGUUUAGAGGAACUGAUGCUUUCCUGUGGCUUCAGUAUCCUCACUGGAAUGCUCAUCCACAGGCUGUGCCUGGCUCUUUUUGGGUGACAGCAUGGGCCAUGCUGUCCCGGGGACCUUGAGUCUCCACAUGAAAGCCUGUGAUUAGGGAGUGAGUUUCCUUCCCACACUGCUCCUAUCUGCUGGCACUCUUUAGUAUUCAGACCAAGAAACUGGUCCCAAACCAUCCUCAGAUGAGGAAGAGAAUUGUAUAAAUAAGUACACUUCAAGAGCACAUAGAUUUAGGCUUCAGGAUCACUGAAACCUGCAAGGAUGAUCAUCUGGAAACCGAGAGCUUUGUCUCUUGGCUAAGUGCAACUCUCCAUUCUUUUCUUCAAGGCCUCAGGGAAUACCCGGCCUUAAAUUCCUUUUUUUCAUUUUCCUUACAUUCUUCAUCACUGCCUGCUGUAGUCUGGGUAGCUGUUCAUUUAUGGCAGGACUGGAAAUGGGUUUCUGCUUUUCCUCAUAACCCUUGUCUGGCAGCAGCAGGCUGUGAGGAAGUCCUUCCGCACCCUGUUGGCCUUGAUCCCGCCCCAGCAGCAUCUGGCCUCCCUCCUCCUGCUGAGCUGACAGCGGCCACUGGGCCUGGGCUCCACGCUUCUGGCCCUGUCUCCCAGCUCACAGGCCUCCCCUUGCAGCCACGCUCUUCACCCUGGCACAUGGCUGCCACCCACCGCUUCCCACACAGUCCCUGUCCGCAGCGGCACAGGGUGCCAGGACUUUCCCUUAGCACUCACCUCUCCCUCAGCAGACCUGGCUGCUCUGAGGCCUGGGCACAUCUGAGGGGCUUCUCAUUCCUGAGGCCAGGCCCUCCAACACCCCACAACCACCCUUGCUCACCUGAGCAGGUCAUAGCCACAUUUCCUUCCUCCUCUGGGCUCCUCCUGUGGCUGAGCAGACUGUGAGGUGCGCCUGAGGGUCACUGAAUUCUCACAGUGGCCGCCAUGCAGUAGGUCCGGCCUCAGGCCUGCCUUACAGCACUGCAGUGUGGACGCUGUGUGACCCUCCUCCCCACAUCGUGGUGGGAGGCAGCUGCUAAUGUGUCAGCUGCUGCUCAUGUCCAGGACUAGUUUAAUCAUGAAGUAGAUCCACAUGCAGUUAACCAUAGGAAGCAGAAGACGUGUCUUGUGUUUUAGGAUUCCGAAGUCAGGUCUCGCCCAGGGACCCUAGUCCAUAGCAUAGCAGUGUUGGCAGAAAUCUCACUACAUCCAGCUGCUCCAGCUGUUUUUAAAACUAAAGUUUUAUCCAUUAGUUUCUCACACCUAUUACAACAACUGAAUUAUAAUUUGUGAGCAACAGCUUUUGGGUGCAGUUUGGUGCUUACCCAGGGAUGCGCUUAUCAUUUGCUCAGAGCUGUAGUGGCCCUUGUCCAGCUCCCCGCUGAAUGACCGUGUGCUGUUCAACCCCUCAUGGGUGUACAGUGUGCGGCUCAGCUGCCCUGCAGCCUGUCGCUGGGUGCUGCACAGGGCUUGCGUUUGAAGUCUGCUUCCUUACGGUGGAGUGUGUUCCUAGCUUCUCCUCUGGCAUGUUUGUCUCCUGGAGCCGGCAGCCGGCUGCCAAGCCCUGCAGACUGGGAACCAGCCUCCAGGUCUCAUGGAAGUCAGCCCCCUCCACCCCAAGGUGUGCUCUGUGCUGUGCCCCUGACCUGUGGUUCCUGGUAUCUCGGCCACCUGGUCCUCCUGCCUAGAUUGCCUCCCCAUGGCUACACUGCUCUGGUCCUCUCCCUUUGUGUAGCUGUUCCUCAUGGAAGGCCCCGAGGCUUGCCCCAGAGAAUGGACACACACACACACACACACACACACACACACACACACACGGCCUCUCAGGAACAUUUCUAUUUUAACACAGCCACAGACAGCAGAGUGAUUGUCUAAAUGUACAACUACUAAAUGUAGCAGGCUGAUUCGCUUUGGCUAAGGGAGGCCUUUUAAGGGUGACCCAGCCUGGGCAGCCUAUGCUGAGCAGCUACCCUGCCUGGGAAUCUGCUUUGGCAGUGUAAGGGUGGAGUCACCAGAACUGUGUGUGAGUCCUGCUAACACUGCUGUCUGGCAGCAGCUGGCCUGAGCUGGUGUCUCCUGGAAGCUCCGCUGUGUCUUCAGGAUGACUUGGUGAUUUUGUGUUGGAAGUUGUGCUGCCCAGAGUGUCCCAUGUGUUCUGGUAAGGAGUCCUAGGAAGUCACUGGGGUAAUUUUGAUCCAGCCCAUCUUGGGGACUUUGAUUGUUGCCUUGGAGAGAUUUCCAAGGCUCAGGGUUCUCCACAAGAUGGGCCUGGAGAACUCAUCUGCAUCUACACCUGUGUGGCAGCCCUGGAGUGUGAGACACUUUAUGAACCUGGAUCCAAACAGCUUGUAGGAAGGAGACCCCGUGUCCACUGUCCAGAGAUGCUGGGCUUGGAGGAGCUAGGAUAAGCACAGCUCAUACCAGUUUUGUUCAUGAGUGAAGCACAUCCCCAGUGUGACUGAAGUUAUAUCCACCAGCAGACUAAAAAGCCACUCUCUUUCCAUACAGACUGUGUAGUUCAUUUUGCAUCAGAAUGAAUUUUGCUUUAAUGACUUAGGUAAUAGAAUGUCUAAACCAAAUCAGAGGACAGCAACAUAGCUGGCUUCACACAAUUAUCGUGCAUGUUUAGUACCUGAAAUUUCUAUUUGGGAUCUUAUCCAUCAGGGUCGGAAAUAGAUUCUAAUGUUCUGUUCGAUGCAAUAAUAUCAAAGUCCAUGAACAUGUCAGUAAAUGGCUUAAUCAACGAAGAGGAACACAAAGUUAAAGUAAGGUUUUAUUGCCUUCGUUGUACUUUUGUUUGGGUAAUGUGGAAAACUCAGAUUUACUUUUUGAUGCGACUGUUUAAUAGGAGUAGCUGGGUUGUACUCACAGAAAGUCACCUUAUUUUUGCAGUUUUUUGAUAUUAAGAAGUUAAAAUCAGCGGACAUUAUUAGAUAGGAACAUCUCUUGAUGAAUAGCAAUUAAAUGUUAUAGCAGUUUUAUAAUCCAAUAUUUUAUUUAUGGGAGUAUGUUUCUAAUUAACAGUGAUUCACAUUCCCUACAAUUGCAAAGCAAACUUCAUCCUAAUUUCAUUAAUAGUUUUUGUCCUCUCGCUUGCCUGGGAAGAUUAACACUGCUGCUCUCUGUGCACAUGGUGCAGAGUGUGUCGAGUGUGUAACACCGGUGCUCCUUAAGUAACAUCGCUUUCACCUUGCAGCCUUGUAUGCAUUUCCACUGGAAGCCCAAGGUGGCUGAUAGGGUGGAGGUGACACCAGGGCUGGCUCAGCCUGGAUGCUUUUGAGCCACAGUCAUUGCCAUUAGAUGCAGAGGCGGUUUGGGUCACUUUGUAAGGAAGCUGAGGGGCACUUGCUAUCCAUCCAGCUUGAUGGUGCUGUCACAAGAAGUAUUUAGCCUUGAUUUCCAGAGUGAUAACAAGAAGAAAAGCAGUAGGCAGUGGGUCAAAGUUAGGAGAUGUGGAAGAUCCAAAGAUGGAGAAACUGGGAUUUUCUUUUCCCCUGCUGACCCCCAGGAGCCCAGCAAGCUCUCCACACCCAAGCUGCCCCUCCCUCAUCUCUGCUGUUGUGGGAGAGGGGUCAGCAAAGCCACUGUUGGCAUGACCUGGGUGGACCCGGCAGAGAGCAGCCAUAUAUGUCACUGCUGAAGAAAGUCCGCCGCACGGCCUUCUGUUGUCCUCAGACCUGAAGCCCUCUUCACCCUGCUCCUUCUGGCUCCAGGCCCACAGAGUACCCUGUGGAGCCAAGGGCGUCUCCCUCAGGAUGGAGUCCCCACAGCCAGGAGUGCUUCUGCCCUCUGUGAUGAGGGAGGCUGUCCUUGUUGUGCAGAGUGCAGAGUGCUCAGGGGAGUCCAGGCAUCCCCAAGGGAACAGGAGGGAAGGACUGACUGUGGACAGGACCCUGCCUGUGCUAGCUGUGCUCUGAGCAGCAGCCCUCGAGACUGUCGUCUGGACUCAGUGCUCUGUGCUAGUGUUCCCAGCCAUGGAGGCUCACACACUCAAGUUUGCUCUCUGCUGACCACGCAGAAGGCCAUGUAUUUGGAUAAAAAGGAGAAAGGACUAAUUCAGAGCUCGCUCUGAGGAGAUGGAGGGGCCCAUUUGCCUCAAAUCAGCAUGUCCUUGUGUAAGGUGGGCAAGGGUCUUUUACAUUAAGGAACAGAAGGGAGGGGAGCACAGAGAGACAAUGCAGAUCUUUACACUUGCUUUAUCACUUCAGCAUCUUCAGUUCAUCCUCCUCUUUUUUGUGGCAAAGAAACCAGGCUCCUGGUCUCCUGGGGCUGGUAUCUGCAUAUCCUGUCACUCCUUUGGGGCUGAGGAGAGAAGGGGUUGUGGGCUGUGUGCUCAGCAGGAGGAAGUUUGGAGAAGUUGCUUAUAUCUAAAAGGAAAAUUCCUAGCUUUUAAUGUUCCAUUUUGCAGUGCUGGUUGGGGGAGACCUUGUGCUGGGGGAGUGUCCUGAUAGGGGCGCUCACAUCUCUGAUUGAAUGACCCAGUGAAUUCCCCAUUGACAGAAAGGUAAAUUUUGCUAUCAACCUAUUAUGGCUUCUAUCUAGAUGUCCCCUAAAGCCUCAUGGGUUCCUAGGUGGGGUUUCUGGGAGGUGGCUAGAUCAUGGGUGUGUGGUACUGGGUCAUGGGUGUGUGGUACUGGGUGAGUCCACUCAUAGCUUUAUAGCUGGGUAUGAUGUUGGAAGGUGGAGUCUGGUGGGAAGAGGUGGUCACUGUGGUGUGGCUGGGAAAGAUCCCUGUUCCUUUGAUGGCUGCCCUGCCUGCCUACCCUGCCAUGGACUGUCUCCUCUGUGAUGACCCUCUCCCAUGCUGCCCUGACUUCAAACCAACAGACUAUGGACUGAAACCUCUAUAAGUUGUGAGCUAAAAUAAACCUUUCCUCCUCAACUUCUGGGUGUCAGGUAUUGUUUCCUACAACAAGAAAAUAACUGAGACACAACCCAUAAAAUGUGGGUCUUUGCAGAAGGUUUAAUUAAAUUAAGUGUCUACUGAAGAACCUGCUUUCAGACAUCCCAAGAAUCAGAAUCUCCAGGAGCCAUGGGCCACGGAGUCCCCAGCCAUUGACUUCCUCAUUCAUUUUUUCCUCCUGCCUGGAUAGAUCAUCAGCAUAGUUUGCAAUGAAAUGCAGAAAACCCUAAUUAUGGGUUGGUAUGCAGUGUAAUAGCCUGCUUCCCCUGUUGGGACAACAUACCUGAUGUACACAACCUAGAGGAGAAGUGGUUUAUUUGGCUCAUGUGUAGAGGUUUCCAUCCAUGGCUGGCUGGCUUCGAGGCAGGACAGCAUCAGGAGAGCCUGCAGAAGAAAGCCACACAGCUCCUGGGACCUGGGAAGUGGAGCAGGGACAGGCCAAGAGGAGAGGCUGGGAUGCUUCUUGGCACCUGGUGCCACUGUGGUGCAAUCCAGCCCUCGUUCUGUGGAGUGAUUUCCUCAGAGCAGAGCAGAUGUGGGGUCUCUCUUACCCUGCAUCUGGCUUUGGGCUUUGUGCCUGUUCUGUUUGCUUGUCUAUGCGGGCCUGUCCCCUGGUGGCCCUGCUCUCCUCUACCCCAUUCACACUCCUCUAGCCUGGCUUUGCCCUGCAGUGGGUCAGUUCUCUCCAAGUGUGUGUCCACGAUGCCCAUGCAUCUGUGUGCUUUCUGAGAAUGGAGGGAGUGGGGACCGAGGGGCACACAGAGCCUGUCCAGCCCCCUCAGCAUGUCCUGGUGUGUGAGGUGUGGACAGAUCAGCAGGUGCCAGAUAGGAGAAUGUGGGAAGCAGGAGAGAGAGAGAAACCUUCCCCAUGGGCACCUACUUCCCUGUUCCCCGUGGUCCCGAUCGACUGACGGGUGCUGACACUGGAGACUCCUCUGGCCCUGCGUGGGCAGUGAGGACUCCGAUCCAGAGCUGCUCCCUGACAGGACCUGCUGUAUCAUUUUGGAACCAGGAGAUGUUAACAAGCGGUGCAGGAAUCUGUGGCCUCAUCCCGGUCCAGCCUGAGAGGUCGUGGCACAACUUCCCCAUCCUUUGGUGUUGGUGUUUAUCCAGGAGUGUGUGUUCGCUUUCUUAUCUGUGCUGCUGGUGUUUGUGUGAGUAGGGGUGGGUCCUGUUUUCCUCAUCAUCCGGCAACUAGAAGAGCAAUGACUGCACCCACUUCUCUUGGCAGCCUUCCAGGCAGGAAAGUGGUGCCGAUCACUCUGGAACAGAAAUGUAAUUUCAUGUUAUUCCCAUGUAUUUGUUUAUUUCUAAUAUUUAUCUUUUUAGGUCAAUCUUUUGACAAAAUUGUGAGUAAUAUUUAUGAUUUCUGAAACUUUUCAUCUGGGAAAAUGGUUUUAUGACAAGCUGCCUUAUUGAUCAGAGCAAAUGCUUUUAGUGAUAAAGCACUAACACCUAAAAUAUCAAGUAGGUGUAAGGAGACAUCUAAAGCAAGUUAUGAAAACACAGUGGGGAAAAAGAAUUGCUCUUUAGUGCAAAACAAGCUUGUAUUUUGGAAUUAAUUGAAGUAUCAGUUUUAGCCACAGUGUUCCAAAUAGCACUGAAGCUCAGAAGUUACAGAGAUUCAUGAGUCUGGCAGCUGCCAUUUAUCUUUUUCCGUAUUGCUGUAGAGUAUUUACAAACCUGAGUUUCUCCAAGGUCCCGGUUGCUAUUCUAAGAUGAAAAUGCAAGGAAGAAAUCUCAUAAUUCACAGCUUUAUAUAUACUGACUCGAAGGGCUGGGAAGUCACACUGUGGAUGGAUGCAGGCUCACGAAGGGCUUAGCGAGCUCUGUGAACCCUUGUUUGAGCUUGAAGCAUGGAAAUGCUGUGUGAGCUCUGCACACUGCCCACUCCCUGGGAGGCCUGGAGUCCUGUGCAUGCUCCGUGCCCAGGCUGCACUUAGAUCUUGUUUCCUGCUCGCUGUCCUGGUGAGGCCUCUGGGAAGAGGUGAGGCUGGCAGCUGCUGCCUGGCAGUUAGGCCUGGGCUUUUCCUUUGUCACCACAGUUGCAGACAGUGCUACAUGGACAAAAUUUCCAGCUGGUUUUUAAAGAACAUUUGCAUAGUGGUCUUGCGACCCCAUCUGUAAUUAAAGGGAAAGAGAGUGUGUUGAAAUAGCCACAGGUAACUUGCUUAACUAAACCCAUGCUGAGAAAAUUAAUCUGCAAGAAUACCAAUUUGCUGUUAAAAAAGACCCAAGCUUUAAACAAAAGCUAGGUUUUAAUAGGAACAUAUUCAGUGAAACACUUUUCAGCAGUCAUUUAUGGAAAAGCUACUUGUGCAUGGCUCUGGGCAGCACCCAGAGCGCCAAGGACCUGACAGCUUGUCUGGCCCCUUCCCGGGAGUGGUACGUAUUCAGGGCCGGGGCCCGUGGUGUCCCUUGGGGGAGGCAGCUGAGGCCGGUGUGGCGUGGGACAAGGAGCCUGGGUGCACUGGUGGGGGUGGCAUCGCCGGCAGGAAGGGCAGCCAUCGUGGAGCUGAGGUCCCAGGACUGAGGGGCACAGAGGCUGCUGGGCAGGGAGGGUGGAGGAGGAGAGGCAGGCACCUGGAGCUUGGCAGUGGUCCUGAUGGGGCUCCCCCUUUCCCAUGUGCCAGGGCAGGGUGCGUGGAGACCCACACUCCCACACCUGCAGAGUGAGGACAGGCGUGACUGAAGUAAGGUGUGUUCCACAGCCUGUGACAGUGGCCCCUGGCCAUGGCCUGGUCAUGUGGAUACCUCCGGUGCUCCACAGUGAUGUACGGUGUGGCCCUGUGGGUCCCUGAGCAUGAGAGGUGUCUCCUCCCUGCCAUCCAUGUCAGAGUGGGACCCAUCCCAGCUCCUGAGUUGGCUGCCACUUCCCCAGCGCUGCUCCUAGGCCUGGCGGGAGUCCCCAGCCAGCUGCUCCCCAGAACUCAGCUCCGGCCCCCUCUGUUGGCCCUAGUGUGUGGAGGCUGAGGGCGUGUCUUCUUCAUGUCUUCUUGCCAACGUGUGACUCCUCCCUCACAGAUGUGGCUGCACCCUCAGUGGGCAUCUGUGGCCCCCAGUUCAGUGGGGCCUGGGAGUUGACGGCCCUGUCUCAGGACCAUCCAUGGCCAGCGCACCCUCUGCCCACGUCCUCAUCCAUGAGUCGGCAGGGGCAUGGCUUUCACGUGGUCUGUCCGAGUGCCAUCUGCGACUGCGACCACCCCUCUGCCUGCACUUCCCUGUGGAGUGACUUCUGUGGCUGGUGUGUCCACUGUCAGGGUCUCCUCUGCCCAGCAGUAGCUCGCUGCUCUGUGGGGUCAGCAGGGCACGGCUGGUGUGUGGUUACAGAAACUGGCCACCAGCCCCUGACUCCCCCUGGGCUCCCCAUGGUGCCUUGGUGUUCGCCCUGUGACCUCCCCAUGACAAGGGUCCCCAGCGUGGUGGCUGGGUGGGCGGGGAAGAUGAAGUCAGAGGCUGCAUCACAUUCCAUCACACGGUACCACAAACAAUGCACGUUUUCUUACUGGUGCUUUUGUCUCCAUGUCUUACUGAAAUUAUUUUUGCACUUUAGCGUGCUCUGUCCCCGAAUUACAAAUCUUUGAGUACCAACGAUCUCCUUAUUUCAUAUCAUUUAAAAAAAUUCCCACAAUGAAGCCUGGCACAAAGCAAGCAACUGGUGUGUGUCAAGACAGAGUUAAUACCUCGGCUAUUUCCAGCCCAUGGCUUUUAUGAUAUUACAUAGAAACCUAGAGUGCUGACCCUUUCACUUUGAGGCACCUGCGCUGGAACCAUGGGGCCAGCUCGGCUUCCAGAGAGCUGCUGUCCCAGGCAAGCACAGAGGGGCCUUCAGAGCAGCUUCGACAGCACAUGGCUGUUUUGACUUCGUUUUCUCUCUUCACGCAUCUGACAAGCCAGAGCGACACUUCCCUGCAGCCCCGUCUGCAUGUGGGGAUCGUUUGUUCUGGUGGCCUGAAGUGGGAGCUGGAGCUCACCAAGCGCAUGCAGCGUGGGUUUCGACGGGAGCAUCGUGUUCAGUGUGAUCCACUGUGCUCAGGAGCGGGAGGCUGGGGCAGGACUCCGGGCCUGUGCUGGGGGUCUCCCUGGGCCGACUUGUCCCACUUUCUCAGGGUCAAGCCUGCCUGCCCGGCAAGUGCACAACUGCUCUGUCAUUGUCUCACACAUCGAAGCCCCUUGGUGCUGCAGUGUACUCAGUUGUCAUAAUGUCAGUCAGCAUCAUAGGGUUUUAUCAUCAAGCAUAGCAAAAUGCAAAUAUGGUAUUGUAACAGCUUUAUCACAACAUGGUCAGAGUUGUUCUAGCUUAUGUUACUGUUCAUCUCCUCUUGUGCCUAAUUUGUAAAUUAAACUUUGACCACAGGUAGGCACAGGAUGAAGGGGUUCUACUUUGAAUAUUUGAGCUGAACCACGGUGAUGAGGAAGCUAGGAAGCCUUCAGGAAUCCCUGACUGUGCACCGGCUGCAGUAGCACAUUGGGCCAGAGGUCUUGUAGCUGUUGAGAAAAAGCCGCGUGAGCAGAGAAAGAGGGACGAGGAGACGUGGGCCUGCAGUGCAGACAAGGGCCAGACCUGGUCAAAAAGGAGUCCCGCGGGUGCUGCAGGGGAGGGUGGGCUUUGCAUGGGGGACAGGGUGUAACGUGGCUCCAGGGGACGCUGCUCGAGAGCGUGCCGUGGGGCUGACCAGGCGACCGAAACCUUCGCCCAGAAGGUGGGUGGAUGGCAUUACUCUGCAGGGCCCAGCGCCGGGCCGGGGUGACUCCGGCCGUACCCCGGGAGCGGCACAGGUGCCGACCAGCUUCCCAGGCCCCAGGCCAUGGACGUGGGCCGGGCAGACUCUUCCUGACACCCCUCACCAGCUCCAGUCCUCGGGCCCUGGGGCCACGAUGGUGUCCUCUGCCUGGGGACAGAGGUUUCCCGGCCGCCACCCUGUUUUUCUGUGCAGUCCACCCAGCAGGAGUGGGGACAGAGGACGUGCAAGGCCAGAGCCUGUGGUGUCUGUGGCCGGGCCCUUCAUAGAAGGAGCUCACGGGUCCUGGCUGAGGAUCAGAUGUGUCUGUUGCUGCCACACAGCUGGGGCUACAGACAGGAGGCACAAGAAACCACCCUGAGCCAGGGCUGUGCAGUGAGUCAGGGCGUCCUCCACACACGGACCCACUGGACACUCACCCCAUGAGCCGUGUGUACCGUGGUCAGGCAGCCAGCACCCACUGAGGUUGGCCGUGGUACCCCAGCGCUGGCCACUGGGCUAUAUGGGCUGAAGCAUGCUGCUCUGGCAGGAAUCAGUUAGUCCUCCUACUCCAGGAGAGCCCUCCUAAGCCAAGGGACGCACACUGUCUGAACAGAGUCCUUGGGUCUCACAUGUAACUGGUCACUUCAUUCUCGGUCACGCUCUCGGUCAAAUGGAAGUGCUCUCUUACUGCGGAGCACACACAUUCACUGUCACUAACUGAGCAGUCACCACUGUUAGGGCUUCUGCUUUGCAUCUCUGAAACCUUGUCUGGUGCCCUGUUUGUGUGGUUUCCUUUCUCCCCCUUGCCUGGGACCUGCACGUUCACUGGCUGGGGCCCAGCUGGAGGACCAGCCAGACGCUGAGCUGAGAGGUCACACUGCCCGGGCCACCUGUCUGCCACCCACCUGUCACUCCAGGACAUACGGACAAGGUGGCUGGGAUGCAGCUCUCCGCCCACCCUUGGUGUCUCCACUGUGUGUUUGUCCGGAGAUCAUCGCACCCAGCGGAGAACCCAGGCCACAGUCUCUCGACCACGCAGAGCCUUUGCUGUGGCUGUGCCUCACAGCCAGCGCAUCCUGGGAGACAGGAAGAGAGGCCCUGUCUGAGGGGAGCCUCACCUCCUCCUCAUGGACUGGGAUGGGGAGGCUCUCCCGGCCUGUCCAGUGGGGAAGGCGUGUCCAGGUUCACAGGGUCUUUGAGAGCCAAGAACCCACAUCCUGCUGCAGUUAGGCAAAGCAGUGAGCAUGAUUCAGAGAUGGAGAAACUGAGUGGAGGAGAUCUAAAUGAUGUCCCAGAGGGCGCCCUGCAAGGUCAGAUCUAGGAUUGAAAACCACAGCCCUGGCUUGGCCUGGAGUGUUGUCCUCCAGAUUUCCCCAUGUGUCCAGAGCAGAUGUAAAGAUCAUAAGAUGCUGGCCAGAAAACCCGUGUACUCUGGGAAAUGUCCAGAGGAGACCGACUUCCUUCCUUCCCUGAGAUUCAGCACCUGUUGCUGGGCUGUGCCCUCAAGGACAUCACCAUGGCUGGUAUCAUUUUACAUGAAGAUUUUCUUGUGACUGCAAUAAUCUCCAUAUCUGAAAACUGACUAAAUUCACAAUAAUAAGUUUACUAUUGUUUAGACAUUUAUUUUGUCAUUUUGAAUGGAAAGUACUGAAAAGUGAAAUUAAACAUAUAUGAAACA
Heterocephalus glaber (naked mole-rat) is the source of this 17673-nucleotide non-coding RNA. The record is from RefSeq and is a predicted model, not a curated record. Lineage: Eukaryota; Metazoa; Chordata; Mammalia; Rodentia; Bathyergidae.